AUUUUGCUUAAAUGCCAAUAUUGGUAAGCAUCAUAUUUUGUUUUAAAGUUAGGUUUGGCAUAAACAUCAAUUUUUUUAUGAUACUUAUUAAGUUCAAGUUUCAAACUUGAACUUAAUAUGUUACAAAUGAAGUUAUGAAAGUAUUAUAUAUAUGUCUGUAAGCUUGCAUUGCAUGUGAUGAGGGUGAAUGUUAGUGUUUAUUUAUAUUUUCAAAUGUUCGGUUUUAUAAUUGGCUGUAACCAAAAGCUAUGUUUCAUCUAUCGGGAGAUUGGAUUUACUUAAACGUUGUUUUAAUAUUUUAGAAGGCUAGAAUGUAAAUCAGUUAUACAAUAAUAACUUUUAAGUUUGUCUCUGAAGCUGAUAAACAUUGAGAAGUUGAUUCAAAGUAAAUAGGAAUCAAAUCAUAAGAUGUUUUGGAGGAACUCUUGCAUAUCAUGCAAAUAAGUGCUGAAUGCUAGUUUAUAAAACAUGGUCGAGAUUCAUGUAACAACUAUUGAGGAUUUAAAGAAUUAAAAUUCUCUUAACAUGUUUGAAAGGGUCUUCGUGGUUUGUAAAAAUAGCAAGGUGGACUAUCCAAUGUGUGUCAUUAAUGAUGCUGAAAGGUCACCUAGGUAUUUGUUUGAUGUGUGUAUGUUUGUCCCAUAUUUCUUACUUGCUAGAAGUCAUUUCUAGUGUGGCAUUGAACAAAAGUUAAUUACCGUAAUUUUCUUGGAAGGAAUAUUCUGGGCAUAUAUUGCCUAAAAGUGGGGAGAUGACAUAAUUACAUUUCCUUAUUGUUACUUAGCUCCACAGUUCAUUCUUCUACAAUAAAAAGAAGUAUAACUUAAUAAAAAAAACCUUGAGAUUUAAUGCUAACUACGUUUUGAUUUCAUCAACUAAACUCAAUUAAGCUUUU
RNAcentral lists this unclassified non-coding RNA (895 nucleotides) under Hevea brasiliensis (rubber tree). The record is from RNAcentral. Lineage: Eukaryota; Viridiplantae; Streptophyta; Magnoliopsida; Malpighiales; Euphorbiaceae.